Molecule: Y RNA, 110 nt
Filed under: Prolemur simus (greater bamboo lemur)
Lineage: Eukaryota; Metazoa; Chordata; Mammalia; Primates; Lemuridae
Description: Y RNA (ENSPSMG00000006442.1)
Rfam family: Y RNA
About the family: Y RNAs are components of the Ro ribonucleoprotein particle (Ro RNP), in association with Ro60 and La proteins. The Y RNAs and Ro60 and La proteins are well conserved, but the function of the Ro RNP is not known.
Source: Rfam by way of RNAcentral
GGCUGAUCUGAAGGUAGUGAGUUAUCUCACUUUAUUGUUCACAGUUACAGAUUGAGCUCCUUGUUCUACUACUUUCCCCACUUCUCACUAUGGUACUUGACUGGUCUUUA